CGUAGGGGGCAAGCGUUGUCCGGAAUUAUUGGGCGUAAAGAGCUCGUAGGCGGUUCGGUAAGUCGGGUGUGAAACCCUCAGGCUCAACCUGGGGACGCCACCCGAUACUGCUGUGACUAGAGUCCAGUAGGGGAGUGUGGAAUUCCCGGUGUAGCGGUGAAAUGCGCAGAUAUCGGGAGGAACACCAGCGGCGAAGGCGGCACUCUGGGCUGGAACUGACGCUGAGGAGCGAAAGCGUGGGUAGCAAACAGGAUUAGAUACCCUGGUAGUCCACGCCGUAAACGUUGGGCACUAGGUGUGGGGACCCUCCAACGGUUUCCGUGCCGUAGCUAACGCAUUAAGUGCCCCGCCUGGGGAGUACGGCCGCAAGGCUA
Molecule: ribosomal RNA, 374 nt
Filed under: uncultured organism
Description: bacterial SSU rRNA
Rfam family: Bacterial small subunit ribosomal RNA
Source: RNAcentral